GAUGAAGAACGUAGCGAAAUCCGAUAAGUAGUGUGAAUUGCAGAAUUCAGUGAAUCAUCGAAUCUUUGAACGCACAUUGCGCCCCUUGGUAUCCCGAGGGGCAUGCCUGUUCGAGCGUCAUUUCACCACUCAAGCCUGGCUUGGUGUUGGGCGACGUCCUCUUUGGGGACGCGCCUCGAAACGCUCGGCGGCGUGGCACCGGCUUUAAGCGUAGCAGAAUCUUUCGCUUUGGAAGUCGGGGCCCCGUCUGCCGGAAGACCUGCUCGCAAGGUUGACCUCGGAUCAGGCAGGGAUACCCGCUGAACUUAAGCAUAUCAAUAAGCGGAGGA
Molecule: unclassified non-coding RNA, 329 nt
Filed under: soil metagenome
Description: partial contains 5.8S ribosomal RNA, internal transcribed spacer 2, and large subunit ribosomal RNA
Rfam family: 5.8S ribosomal RNA (bases 1-120)
Source: RNAcentral